This 240-nucleotide long non-coding RNA is filed under the name Lathyrus oleraceus (garden pea). RNAcentral's name for it is "Pisum sativum (pea) long non-coding RNA (PSAT_LNC017563)". Lineage: Eukaryota; Viridiplantae; Streptophyta; Magnoliopsida; Fabales; Fabaceae. The record is from RNAcentral.
GCUAUAUUUAGAACUGGUGAAGGUUGGGAGGUUCUGGUGGUUGAAGGUGGGAUUUCAGAGGUAGUAAAAAUAGGUUGUGAAGAGAGAGGGUCAGAAGAAGCCAUCAGAGGAUUAGAGGUAACAGGAGGAACAGACGUACCAGUAGAUAUAUUCAGAGGAGCUGAAGAUUUGCUUCCAGAAGUUUCUCCAAGUCUGGCCUUCUUUGCCUGAGAUGCUACCUUCUUUUCAGAAAGACCUCUC